CGCUGUCACUCCUACGGGGAGGCAGCAGUAGGGAAUCUUCACAAUGGGCGCAAGCCUGAUGGAGCAACACCGCGUGAGUGAAGAAGGGUUUCGGCUCGUAAAGCUCCGUUGUUAAAGAAGAACACGUAUGAGAGUAACUGUUCAUACGUUGACGGUAUUUAACCAGAAAGUCACGGCUAACUACGUGCCAGCAGCCGCGGUAAUACGUAGGUGGCAAGCGUUAUCCGGAUUUAUUGGGCGUAAAGAGAGUGCAGGCGGUUUUCUAAGUCUGAUGUGAAAGCCUUCGGCUUAACCGGAGAAGUGCAUCGGAAACUGGAUAACUUGAGUGCAGAAGAGGGUAGUGGAACUCCAUGUGUAGCGGUGGAAUGCGUAGAUAUAUGGAAGAACACCAGUGGCGAAGGCGGCUACCUGGUCUGCAACUGACGCUGAGACUCGAAAGCAUGGGUAGCGAACAGAAUUAGAUACCCUGGUAG
This 473-nucleotide ribosomal RNA is filed under the name uncultured bacterium. Its description in RNAcentral is "bacterial SSU rRNA". It matches the Rfam family "Bacterial small subunit ribosomal RNA", at positions 328 to 793 of the family's 1533-position model. The record is from RNAcentral.